GUGGAGGAGGGAGACGGGUGUGUUUGCG
RNAcentral lists this non-coding RNA (28 nucleotides) under Cricetulus griseus (Chinese hamster). The record is from RNAcentral. Lineage: Eukaryota; Metazoa; Chordata; Mammalia; Rodentia; Cricetidae.